Molecule: ribosomal RNA, 498 nt
Filed under: uncultured bacterium
Lineage: Bacteria
Description: bacterial SSU rRNA
Rfam family: Bacterial small subunit ribosomal RNA
Source: RNAcentral
UGAACGCUAGCGGCAGGCUUAACACAUGCAAGGUCGAGGGGUAACAGGGAGUAGCAAUACUCUGCUGACAACCGGCGCACGGGUGCGUAACGCGUAUGCAACCUACCUGUAACAGGGGGGAUAACGGAGGGAAACUUCCACUAAUACCCCAUAUUGUUAUUCUUUCGCAUGUUAGGAUAACGAAAGCUUCGGUGGUUACGGAUGGGCAUGCGUGACAUUAGGUAGUUGGUGAGGCAACGGCUCACCAAGCCGACGAUGUCUAGGGGAGCUGAGAGGCUUAUCCCCCCACACUGGUACUGAGACACGGACCAGACUCCUACAGGAGGCAGCAGUGAGGAAUAUUGGUCAAUGGACGGAAGUCUGAACCAGCCAUGCCGCGUGGAGGAAGAAGGUCCUAUGGGUUGUAAACUCCUUUUGUUCGAGAGUAAUAAGUGGGAUGCGUCCCACGAUGAGAGUAUCGGACGAAUAAGCAUCGGCUAACUCCGUGCCAGCCGCCGC